RNAcentral lists this long non-coding RNA (4846 nucleotides) under Coffea arabica (coffee). Its description in RNAcentral is "long non-coding RNA (CARA_LNC003582)". The record is from RNAcentral. Lineage: Eukaryota; Viridiplantae; Streptophyta; Magnoliopsida; Gentianales; Rubiaceae.
CAGUAUGAUAAUAUAAUUCUUCAAAGUUGAGAAUUUUGUACAGUAAUUAAUUUUUUGUCACAACGAUAACAUUUCUAUAACCUACUAAUAUCCUAUUCUAGGAGAAAGGAAAACCUAACCAACGAAAAUCACCGUCGGAGAAAGCCACUGAAAGUGGCAAGCCAGGUGUAGUGGCCGGUAGGAGGCAAGGUUUGAUUCUUUAAUCUCACCAACAGCCCAAGUGAGAGAAUUUUGUAUGGUACUUGUUUUCUACUAUUUGGUGUGAAAUCCAUGAUUAAUUCUGAUAUCUUUUUUUUGCUUUCUUUUCUGUAUAUCAAUAAAGAAGAUUAUAUAGUAAUUGAUUCCAGGUAUCAGGCAGUCCAGCUAUACACCAGUGGGUGCAGUCAGCAGCAGCAGUUGCAGCGCCAUAAAAGGACGGAUGUGCAUCUACACGGAAUUGAGAAAGGGUGGUUAUAUCCAGCAAUUUCACAGGAACCCUCAUCUCGCUCAAUACUUUCUUCUGCACUGCUAAAGCUGGUGGCAAUACUCCUGGAUAUGUUGGCCCGGGCACCGGCCGAGUUUGCCCAGCACAGUUUUUCACUUGAGGUUGGUUCCAAUCACUCCCCCUGUUGUUCACCAGUUAAAGAAUGAAGUGAAAUGGGGGAAGACAUAGAGAGAAAGAUACAGCAUCGGAUUGUAAUUGCACACAUUCAUACUAUAGGUUAUGUAACAUUCACAAUGAAAAAGGCAAAAGUAAUAUCAAUUUAGUGCAGUUGUUAAUGUUGAGAUACUAAAAAUUAGAGUUCUGGGUUUAAUUUCUUCCUCCUCCUCCUCCUCCCCCUUCUCCACACUUUUUUUUUUUUUAAAAGGUACAUGAUCACGAAUCACCUCUUUUUGUAUAGAGGACUUUACAGUGGAUAGAAGAUUUUUUCGGAAUAAGAGUAUAGUAUUUUUCUUUUUGUGUGUGAGAUAAAAAGAUAUUUGAAAAAAUAUUAAUGUGAUAAAAAAUAGAGUAUCCUAUAGUAGGUGUUUCUAUAUUCUUUUCUUUUUUGAUCUUAAAUUAUGUUAACUGGCAAAAAAAAAAAAAAAAGAAAGUGGAUUUGUUAAGGAUUUUUUUUAUUUAACUUUAGACAAAUUAAAGAAGAAACAAGAACGGCCUUUCAAUUUUUCAACUGUCUUUGUUGAUAUAUGUCUGCAUGAAAGUUGUUUAAGCAGUAGGUAGUUGGAUAGGUUUUUGACAUGAGAAGGGGGGGGGGGGGGAGAAGGGUAGUUGGCCGGGGGGGGGGUGAGAAGGGUAGUGACACGAUUUUUUAAUUGCCUUUGACAAUUUAUUAAUUGUCUUCAACAAUGUACUAAUUUUUUUUUAUUUUCUAGGUUUCUUGGGUUAAAAAAAUUUUGUGCAGUUUUCAAUGUUUUUGUUUAGACUUUGGUAGAAAGUUUGUAAAGAACAAGAAGGUGUCACUGAUUACAUAAAUGGCAAGGCAUCAAGUUCAUUGUCAUACAGCAGUUCACGUCAUGCAAUAUACAUCGGAUUAUUUAGAUUUUUUAUGUUUUUUACUUAAAAGCACAAUACAUCUUAUGUUUUCAUUUUGCUUCUAUUAGCUGUGAACAGAUUUAGAAGGUUACUGUGUUCCUAUGACUUGAUUGAUUCUAAAUUCUGAUCUUUUAUUAAUACUUCAUUCGGCUUCUUUUCUUUUCACAUUAACCUUUAAGCCAUUUAUAUUAAGUACCAAAAUUGAUGUUUUGGUAACGGGUUGGCCAUUCUUUUGUUUACAGAAGAUCAGCCAAGAUUUGAUCUUGCCUAUUUUCAAGUUUUUAAAUGUUAUCAUAUCAUCGAAUGUUUUUUUUUUUUUUGCAUUUUUGAAUUAUUAAUCACUGAAAUAGAUGUUUAAAUUUACAUUAUAAGACUAUUUUUGAAUAACAAUGUGCACAUAGUAAUAUAUUUAAGAAAGGUUAUAAUAGAUCAUACAAUAAGUUUGAAUGUUAUGCAAAUAUUUUUAUGAACUACACUAAAUAAUUUAUUAUUUUUAAACAACUCCCAUUCAACGAAUGGGUACAAAACUAGUUAAAGAAGAAACAAGAACCGCCUUUCAAUUUUUCAACUGUCUUUGUUGAUAUAUGUCUGCAUGAAAGUUGUUUAAGCAGUAGGUAGUUGGAUAGGUUUUUGACAUGAGAAUUAAAUCUAAGAUAAUUCAGUGACUAAAAGGCAUUAUCUAAUCAUGUCAACAAAGAAGACAUUUUGUUUUGGUUGGGGCCCCCGCAAGCGAAGGAUGUUUUUUACGAUACUCCAUAAUUCAUCUCGAAAAUGAGAAGUGAUAUUUUGGAGCACUUACUUGUAAUGGGAUGGAGAAACUCCAAGAAAGAAAACGGUGGUUUUAGCAGGAUCUACAUUUGUGUCCACCCAUUUAGCCCAUGUCUCAAGUGCGGUCUCAAAAGCCACCAUCCGGUCCAUGUCUUUCAAGAGCCUUGUUCCUAUCUGAAUAUAUUUCCACCUGCACAUUCAACAGUUAUUCAAGAAUUCAAUUGCUUGAAGAAUUCUUGAGCUUGGCUCGCAAAUACAGUAUGGAAAGAAAGAUUAUCAAAAUUGUUGGGACAUGAACUAACGGUUGUUGAGCUCCUUUGUAGCCCCACCAAUGCCAUGUAUUGAAGGCAAGCAGGUCAUGACCUGACCAUAGCUUUUCACUUCCUGCAACUGAAUCUAGUUUUAGAACUACACCGAUCUUUUCUGGCACCAGAUCCACCAGAAAGGCAUUUCUAUCAAGGAUCAGUGUGAGUCCAUAGUCCUGUGACAACAUACAAUUGAAAAUUAUAAUUGAUGCGGCAGAAUUAGUAGUUCAAGUUGUUGCAGGAACAGGUACUUUCUGAAGUUGGAUUGAAUUUUUUAGUACAGUUCAGGUGAUCUAAAACUGGUUAAGGUCUGGUUAGUUUCAAUUCGAUCUAAAACUGGUCGUCAAAUCCGAUAAAAUUAUGUCAACGAUGAUUGAAUUAUUGUUGGACCAUCAUGUUAGAUAAGGGAUCAUUAUCAUUGUUGAUUUUCACGAAGCUAGCUACAGGUUGUUCAGCAUAGAAUAGAGAUCAAAGUUUUUGCUAGGUGAAAAAUCUGCCUAAAGUUUCAGAUGCAGGAUUGCACUAGUAAAAGAAAGGGACUGCAGGAGGACCACCUUAACAAUUUUCGCCUAACCAGGACAAAGUUGGCUUGAAGCAACUUGCCAACUUGGUUGGUUGAUUCGUUGUUACACGCUUCUUGCUUGUAUCUUUGUUUUCCCAAUCAUUAUCCACUAGUUGGAGAAUUAGAGGUCCACACUUCAAAACUUUUCAAUUCAGAUUUUCAAUCAUGUAUUCAUUUGUUUAUAUUAGUGGAUAAUGACAUUCAUUUGCGGACUGCAGGCCAAGAGAUUAAGCUUACCAAGAAUUUCAAGGUGGAGAUUAGGCCUACUCUUGUCAUGUUGUAAUUUGUCCCCGGCACGCUAGUGUAGAGCAAGCAGGCCAGGGACAUAUACUGAUCACGGGUCAGAGAAUCGCCUGCAAACAAAAUGCUCUUUCCCCUGAACUUUUGCAAGAAUGCACGGCCGUCAAAUCUGCAUGAGACCAGCAACGCUUUCACACAUUGGGGUUUUAGUAUUUUUCGAGUAGCAGAUUAUAAAGAGUUGAUGGAGUAAAUACCCUGGUAAUCACUCGAGGAGAGAAAAGGGAUUAUGGGCAAUCGAAUAUGUUAAUAAGUUAGUUAAUUAACAUAAUAACAUUUAAAUGGUUGAGUCAGACUGUAGAGAAAAAUGAUGAAGCAACAAAUGACAAUACCACCAAAUCUUUAAGGUGUUCUUUACCAAAAAAAAAAAAUUAUAAAAGAAAAAGAAAACCAAGUCUUUAAGGUGUGUAGGCUUCUGAGCAACGAACAGCUUUAUCUAAUUUUCGUUUCUUUUCUUUUCUUUUUUUCACAGAACAGCUUCGAUUCCGAACAGUGCACGAAUUUUUAUUGUUUUGGAUUCAUGUAGUUUAGUCAUUAGUGAACUUCUUUGAGAAAAUAAAGCAGCAAUCUUUGUUUUUGGUACGGUAUAUAUAGUGGCAAUCAUUGGUAUAUAUGGAUCUUAGAUUCCUUGUCUGGGAAUCUUAUGUCCCGCAAAUUACAAUGAAGUUUGUAUCUUAUUUACAUGAUUAAUUAAGGUUGGUUAUGGUUUCAGCUACCCCUCUUAAUCUCGCUUGAAGUGAGUUAAUUGUUCUUGAUUAGGUAUCCAACGAAAAUCACCGUCGGAGAAAGCCACUGAAAGUGGCAAGCCAGGUGUAGUGGCCGGUAGGAGGCAAGGUUUGAUUCUUUAAUCUCACCAACAGCCCAAGUGAGAGAAUUUUGUAUGGUACUUGUUUUCUACUAUUUGGUGUGAAAUCCAUGAUUAAUUCUGAUAUCUUUUUUUUGCUUUCUUUUCUGUAUAUCAAUAAAGAAGAUUAUAUAGUAAUUGAUUCCAGGUAUCAGGCAGUCCAGCUAUACACCAGUGGGUGCAGUCAGCAGCAGCAGUUGCAGCGCCAUAAAAGGACGGAUGUGCAUCUACACGGAAUUGAGAAAGGGUGGUUAUAUCCAGCAAUUUCACAGGAACCCUCAUCUCGCUCAAUACUUUCUUCUGCACUGCUAAAGCUGGUGGCAAUACUCCUGGAUAUGUUGGCCCGGGCACCGGCCGAGUUUGCCCAGCACAGUUUUUCACUUGAGGUUGGUUCCAAUCACUCCCCCUGUUGUUCACCAGUUAAAGAAUGAAGUGAAAUGGGGGAAGACAUAGAGAGAAAGAUACAGCAUCGGAUUGUAAUUGCACACAUUCAUACUAUAGGUUAUGUAACAUUCACAAUGAAAAAGGCAAAAGUAAUAUCAAUUUAGUGCAGUUGU